UGAGGAAUCUUCCACAAUGGGCGAAAGCCUGAUGGAGCGACACCGCGUGAAGGAUGAAGCCUUUGUUGGUGUAAACUUCUUUUCUCUCCGAAGAUAAUGACGGUAGGAGAGGAAUAAGGGGCGGCAAACUUCGUGCCAGCAGCCGCGGUAAUACGAAGGCCCCAAGCGUUAUCCGGAAUUACUGGGUGUAAAGCGUCUGUAGGUGGUUUUAAAGGUUUCGUGUGAAACUUCGGGGCUCAACCCUGAAUUGCACGGAAAACCAUAGAACUUGAGUGUGGGAGAGGCAAGCAGAAUAGUAAGAGUAGGGGUGCAAUCCGUUGAUACUUACUAGAAUACCAAAAGCGAAGGCAGCUUGCUGGAACAUUACUGACACUGAGAGACGAAAGCGUGGGGAGCAAAA
RNAcentral lists this ribosomal RNA (400 nucleotides) under uncultured bacterium. Its description in RNAcentral is "bacterial SSU rRNA". It matches the Rfam family "Bacterial small subunit ribosomal RNA", at positions 355 to 773 of the family's 1533-position model. The record is from RNAcentral.